RNAcentral lists this unclassified non-coding RNA (405 nucleotides) under soil metagenome. RNAcentral's name for it is "partial contains 5.8S ribosomal RNA, internal transcribed spacer 2, and large subunit ribosomal RNA". The stretch from base 1 to 121 matches the Rfam family "5.8S ribosomal RNA", at positions 35 to 154 of the family's 154-position model. The record is from RNAcentral.
GAUGAAGAACGCAGCGAAAUGCGAUAAGUAAUGUGAAUUGCAGAAUUCAGUGAAUCAUCGAAUCUUUGAACGCACCUUGCGCCCUUUGGCUAUUCCAGAGGGCAUGCCUGUUUGAGUAUCAUGAACACCUCAACUCUCAUAGUUCUGCCAUGAUGAGCUUGGACUUUGGAGGUCUUGCUGGCCCCUGUGGUCAGCUCCUCUCAAAUGGAUCAGCUUGCCAGUGUUUGGUGGCAUCACAGGUGUGAUAACUAUCUACGCUUGUGGUUUUCCACCAGGUAACCUUCAGUGAUGGAGGUUCGCUGGAGCUCAUAAACGUCUCUCCUCAGCGAGGACAGCUUCUUGAAUGUUUGAUCUCAAAUCAGGUAGGGCUACCCGCUGAACUUAAGCAUAUCAAUAAGCGGAGGA